UUAUUUUGAUCCCUGGCUCAGAUUGAACGCUGGCGGCAUGCCUUACACAUGCAAGUCGAACGGUAACAGGUCUUCGGAUGCUGACGAGUGGCGAACGGGUGAGUAAUGCAUCGGAACGUGCCCAGUCGUGGGGGAUAACUGCUCGAAAGAGCAGCUAAUACCGCAUACGACCUGAGGGUGAAAGCGGGGGACCGUAAGGCCUCGCGCGAUUGGAGCGGCCGAUGUCAGAUUAGGUAGUUGGUGGGGUAAAGGCUCACCAAGCCAACGAUCUGUAGCUGGUCUGAGAGGACGACCAGCCACACUGGGACUGAGACACGGCCCAGACUCCUACGGGAGGCAGCAGUGGGGAAUUUUGGACAAUGGGCGCAAGCCUGAUCCAGCCAUGCCGCGUGCGGGAAGAAGGCCUUCGGGUUGUAAACCGCUUUUGUCAGGGAAGAAAAGGCUCCUGCUAAUACCGGGGGUUCAUGACGGUACCUGAAGAAUAAGCACCGGCUAACUACGUGCCAGCAGCCGCGGUAAUACGUAGGGUGCAAGCGUUAAUCGGAAUUACUGGGCGUAAAGCGUGCGCAGGCGGUUAUGCAAGACAGAGGUGAAAUCCCCGGGCUCAACCUGGGAACUGCCUUUGUGACUGCAUAGCUAGAGUACGGCAGAGGGGGAUGGAAUUCCACGUGUAGCAGUGAAAUGCGUAGAUAUGUGGAGGAACACCGAUGGCGAAGGCAAUCCCCUGGGCCUGUACUGACGCUCAGCACGAAAUUGCUUAAUUGGG
This 766-nucleotide ribosomal RNA is filed under the name Pseudomonas sp. LBC2. Its description in RNAcentral is "bacterial SSU rRNA". It matches the Rfam family "Bacterial small subunit ribosomal RNA", at positions 1 to 776 of the family's 1533-position model. Lineage: Bacteria; Pseudomonadati; Pseudomonadota; Gammaproteobacteria; Pseudomonadales; Pseudomonadaceae. The record is from RNAcentral.